CCCGAGAGGCGGGAUCAGGGCGAAGGGCUGGCGCCCCCGAGUGGGUGUGGUCACGCUGCACACCAGUAGGCGGUGAUUGGCCCUGGGCGGUGCAAUCGCAACUCGUGCGUCACUACGCCGCCAGCUGAUCGGAGACUGGAGCCGGUGUGUGCUGGGCGCUGGGAAGAGAGCGCCGCCGGCCGUGGGGCACGGACGCACUGAUUUGCUCCCCAACCUUGAGCACCCCCCACACACCCAGCACCAGGAGCCGGUACCUCCCACACCCUCACCUGGCUGAGCCGCAGUAGUUCUUCAGUGGCAAGCUUUAUGUCCUGACCCAGCUAAAGCUGCCAGUUGAAGAACUGUUGCCCUCUGCCGCUGGCUUCGAGGAGGAGAAGGAGAAGGAGCUGCUUUCGCCCUCAUCUGGAAGGAUGGUGUGUGAAACUCAACUCAGGCCUGUGCAGGCAGAAAAUUCUCCCCUCCAGCAACCAGGAGAGCUGAGUUCUGGGACUCAACCCGCUUUGGGGCAUCAGGCAGUGUAAACCUGCCAUCCCCAGUUCCUGAUCCAAUCUCACUCUCCAGCUCAGGCUCUGGUGUGGUUCAGCCUUGGCCUAGAAUCCCUGCCUGAAGGUGGCUGGCUUCAGGGGCUGCAGGAAGCUGUUUGUUCUAUUUUGGGGGAAGAGGAGCUGGGUCCUAUUACCCAAUUAUGAGAAACUCAAAGAUUUAGGGGAGAGUAGACCAUUGAACCCAGCUCUUCCACAGCUUAAGCCGGAUGUGUGUGGGACUGUGGUAGAAGGGGGUGGGUAGACUGAGUCCACUCAACAAAGAUCACUCUGUCCCUGGACAUUGCUUCCAUCCUUUCUUCCCCUCCUCGCUUCACUGGCCACAGUGUUUCCUUCCAGCCCUGGGUGUGUGGCUCUGCCAUCCUCACCUAUCAUGGAGCAGAGAUGAGGAGGAGCAUCCUGGGAACACAGGCAGGCGGAAGAUCAGUGAAGGACAAAGCCUGGAGAGCACAGGACGUGUCUGGGCACCCUGCAGAGGGGGGGCAUAAAGGCCAGGAGCACCCCAGGAAGAGGGAGGACACCCAGCCUCCAGGAAGGACAAACUUCCCGGCAUCUUCAAUCUUUCCACCUCCUUCAGAGAUGUGGGACCAUAUUAAAGUGUCCUGUGGCUUCAUCCUCCUACUUCCACCUCUCUCCCACCUUGUAAUUUACAUAUAAGCAGCUUCAAGGAACAAGAGCCAGCUGUGAAAGGACAUACACAGGAAAUUCAUAAAAUAAAAGCAAAUGGAUAAAACCAUGAAUACAAAUGUGUACUUCAUUAUUAAUUAAAGAGAGGCAAAUAUAGCUAUAACCAUUUUUCUUUUUCCUUUUUUGUUGUUGAAAGUAUUACAGAUGUCCUUUUUCCCCCCCAUUGACCUCCUUCACCCCAUCCCCCAAAGCAUUUUUCUCAUAGCAAGCUAUAACAGAAAAAAUAAGACCCAGUUGUUGGCAAAGGAGUACUAAAAUAAUCAUCACAUACAUUGCAUAAAGGGGUACAAAUUGGUACAGCCUUCCUGGAUUUAAGUUUGGUAAUAUGUAUCAAACAUAUUACUAUGGCCUUUGACCUAGUAAUCCUACAUUUGGGAAUCUAGCCUAAGGAAAAAAAAUUAGUUAUAAGAUGUUCAUUCAAAAAAAAAAAAAAAGAUGUUCAUUCCAGCAUUGCAAUAGAGAAGCAAUUGUCUGGGAAUUCAUUUCUGCUGCAAAGAAAAUUUGCAAUAUCUAUCCAGAAGGUGGAGUACUACACAGCCAUUAAAAGUCAUGUAAAAGAGCCCUAGCCCGUUUGGCUAAGUGGAUUGGGUGUUGGCCUCUGGACUGAAGGGUCCCAGGUUCAAUUCCAGUCAAAGGCACAUGCCAUGAAAUCAAUAAAAAAAAUAUUUUUGAGAGUCAUGAAGAAUAUUUGGCUGAAAAGAAAAAUGUUCUUUAAAUAUUAAAAAAGGUUAUAGCCCUGGUCAGUGGCUCAAUAGUUAGAGCAUCAGCUGGUGCACCAAUGGGUCUCUGCUUUUAUUCCUGGUCAAGGGCACAUACCUGGGUUGCAGGAGGCAACCAAUCCAUAUCCCUCUCCUCUCCCUUCCUCUCUUUCACUCUUUAAAAAUCAAUGGAGAAAAGACUCUCGGGUGAGGAUUAACAACAAAAAAUUAAAAGGUUAUAAAAAUAGUGUAUAUCAUGUGGUCUCAAUUUUGUUUUUUAAAAUAU
Eptesicus fuscus (big brown bat) is the source of this 2213-nucleotide long non-coding RNA. RefSeq lists it as uncharacterized. The record is from RefSeq and is a predicted model, not a curated record. Lineage: Eukaryota; Metazoa; Chordata; Mammalia; Chiroptera; Vespertilionidae. The transcript has 3 exons.